UCUUCAAUAUGGAAUUAUGGACAGACGUUGAAUUUAAAACUGUGAUAGACGCAGACUUCUGCGGAUAGACGCAAUAAAGACAUUAUUAGAAUAUCAUCAGACGACUUUGAAAGAAUAAAAGGUGAACAGUAGGUAUAGGUACACAUAUCUAUUAUCAAACCACGUUAAAUAAAAUAAAAUUAUUAUCUAACAGUCAGGUAUACAUAUGAAUCAAGUGAUAAUAGUCAACGAUUUAAGAAAUGUAAAAUACGGGCAGUAUCAACGUCAUGAAACAGCUAUGCAAAGUUUACUUGAGAAGCAAUCUCUUUGACGCGAUCGUCAAAGAGACGUGUGUUAUACACCAUACCCCAAUCCGAGAUUCUGUUACGGACAACGAGAAACGUUGCUAAAAGUAGAAUACGGUGAUUUAUUACCUACACGUGGAAAAUGAAAAGAGGCGUAUGCAAAAGGAGUCUUCAAUAUGGAAUUAUUGGACAGACGUUGAAUUUAAAACUGUGAUAGACGCAGACUUCUGCGGAUAGACGCAAUAAAGACAUUAUUAGAAUAUCAUCAGACGACUUUGAAAGAAUAAAAGGUGAACAGUAGGUAUAGGUACACAUAUCUAUUAUCAAACCACGUUAAAUAAAAUAAAAUUAUUAUCUAACAGUCAGGUAUACAUAUGAAUCAAGUGAUAAUAGUCAACGAUUUAAGAAAUGUAAAAUACGGGCAGUAUCAACGUCAUGAAACUGCUAUGCAAAGUUUACUUGAGAAGCAAUCUCUUUGACGCGAUCGUCAAAGAGACGUGUGUUAUACACCAUACCCCAAUCCGAGAUUCUGUUACGGACAACGAGAAACGUUGCUAAAAGUAGAAUACGGUGAUUUAUUACCUACACGUGGAAAAUGAAAAGAGGCGUAUGCAAAAGGAGUCUUCAAUAUGGAAUUAUUGGACAGACGUUGAAUUUAAAACUGUGAUAGACGCAGACUUCUGCGGAUAGACGCAAUAAAGACAUUAUUAGAAUAUCAUCAGACGACUUUGAAAGAAUAAAAGGUGAACAGUAGGUAUAGGUACACAUAUCUAUUAUCAAACCACGUUAAAUAAAAUAAAAUUAUUAUCUAACAGUCAGGUAUACAUAUGAAUCAAGUGAUAAUAGUCAACGAUUUAAGAAAUGUAAAAUACGGGCAGUAUCAACGUCAUGAA
Aphis gossypii (cotton aphid) is the source of this 1177-nucleotide long non-coding RNA. RefSeq lists it as uncharacterized. The record is from RefSeq and is a predicted model, not a curated record. The transcript has 4 exons. Lineage: Eukaryota; Metazoa; Arthropoda; Insecta; Hemiptera; Aphididae.